CCUACGGGUGGCUGCAGUGGGGAAUAUUGGACAAUGGGCGAAAGCCUGAUCCAGCCAUGCCGCGUGUGUGAAGAAGGCCUUCGGGUUGUAAAGCACUUUCAGUGGGGAAGAAAGCCUUGGGGCUAAUACCCACGAGGAAGGACAUCACCCACAGAAGAAGCACCGGCUAACUCCGUGGCCAGCAGCCGCGGUAAUACGGAGGGUGCGAGCGUUAAUCGGAAUUACUGGGCGUAAAGCGCGCGUAGGCGGUCUGAUAAGCCGGUUGUGAAAGCCCCGGGCUCAACCUGGGAACGGCAUCCGGAACUGUCAGGCUAGAGUGCAGGAGAGGAAGGUAGAAUUCCCGGUGUAGCGGUGAAAUGCGUAGAGAUCGGGAGGAAUACCAGUGGCGAAGGCGGCCUUCUGGACUGACACUGACGCUGAGGUGCGAAAGCGUGGGUAGCAAACAGGAUUAGAUACCCCAGUAGU
Molecule: ribosomal RNA, 465 nt
Filed under: Vreelandella stevensii
Lineage: Bacteria; Pseudomonadati; Pseudomonadota; Gammaproteobacteria; Oceanospirillales; Halomonadaceae
Description: partial 16S ribosomal RNA
Rfam family: Bacterial small subunit ribosomal RNA
Source: RNAcentral